AAACCCGGGCUAAUGCCGGAUGAGACCACGGCUGCUCCGGCAGCCGAGGCCAAAGGCGGCCUCUACACGUAAGCUGUCGCUACGGGAUGGGCCUGCGGCCCAUUAGCUAGUUGGUAGGGUAACGGCCUACCAAGGCUGUGAUGGGUAGCUGGUCUGAGAGGAUGAUCAGCCACACUGGGACUGAGACACGGCCCAGACUCCUACGGGAGGCAGCAGUGGGGGAAUAUUGCGCAAUGGGGGAAACCCUGACGCAGCGACGCCGCGUGGGUGAUGAAGGCCUUCGGGUCGUAAAGCCCUGUCGUAGGGGAAGAACUGGCAGGCGGCCAAUACCCGCCAGCCUUGACGGUACCCUACAAGAAAGCACCGGCUAACUCCGUGCCAGCAGCCGCGGUAA
This 394-nucleotide ribosomal RNA is filed under the name uncultured Desulfuromonas sp. RNAcentral's name for it is "bacterial SSU rRNA". It matches the Rfam family "Bacterial small subunit ribosomal RNA", at positions 154 to 523 of the family's 1533-position model. The record is from RNAcentral. Lineage: Bacteria; Pseudomonadati; Thermodesulfobacteriota; Desulfuromonadia; Desulfuromonadales; Desulfuromonadaceae.